Molecule: ribosomal RNA, 216 nt
Filed under: uncultured bacterium
Lineage: Bacteria
Description: partial 16S ribosomal RNA
Rfam family: Bacterial small subunit ribosomal RNA
Source: RNAcentral
AUCCCAGUUCGGAUUGCAGGCUGCAACCCGCCUGCAUGAAGUUGGAAUCACUAGUAAUCGCGGAUCAGCAUGCCGCGGUGAAUGCGUUCUCGGGCCUUGUACACACCGCCCGUCACACCAUGAGAGUCGGGAACACCCGAAGUCCGUAGCCUAACCGCAAGGGGGGCGCGGCCGAAGAUGGGCUCGAUAAUUGGGGUGAAGUCGUAACAAGGUAAC